GGGGCCGAAAGGUAUCGACAGCAGGUGAGGUUAGUGUGUAAGCAUGCCGAGCGUUGUGAAUAUGGCUCGAUAAUCUCAAUUCUCAUCUCGUCUAACUGGCGAAAACAACUACGCGCUUGCUGCUUAAUUUACCUCAGGUAAAUUUCGCUUAAUUCCGUUCACCAGGUGGAUGGAACAGGCUACCCGGUGCAGAGUUCGGCUCAUUAAUUUUGCACAAUGGGUAUCAUGAUUUUGAGCUGGUUAUGGCACUGUUCCAAUGCCGUAAUGAGAAAAUGGAACUAAGGUUUACGGCGGAGCGCAUUUCUCCUUACGUGCACCCUACAAUUCAAUAAAUGCUAAGCAUGUAGAAAGCGCGUUAGUCCCUUGUCUGGACGAGGGUUCAAAUCCCUCCGGCUCCACCU
Molecule: transfer-messenger RNA, 401 nt
Filed under: Bacteroidota bacterium
Lineage: Bacteria; Pseudomonadati; Bacteroidota
Rfam family: transfer-messenger RNA
About the family: Bacterial tmRNA, also known as 10Sa RNA or SsrA, is named for its dual tRNA and mRNA-like properties. Its role is to liberate the mRNA from a stalled ribosome.
Source: RNAcentral